Long non-coding RNA from Malania oleifera, 543 nucleotides. RefSeq lists it as uncharacterized. The record is from RefSeq and is a predicted model, not a curated record. NCBI's taxonomy places the organism in Eukaryota, Viridiplantae, Streptophyta, Magnoliopsida, Santalales, Ximeniaceae. The transcript is spliced from 3 exons.
AUUCUCUCAUUCUCCCUCUCUCUCUCUUUCUCUCAUUUUCUCUCUCUCAAGGAUUUAUUCUAUAAAUUCUCUUAUCCUCUCUCAUUCUCUCAUUCUCUCUCUCUCUCUCUCUCUCUCUCUCUCUCUAAGAUCCUUCGCCGUUCAUCAUCCGUUUCCAAAAACGGAGGGUACUGCGUGGAUCAGAAGAGGAAACUCUACACUUUUAGUAGAUCGGAUCAUCGUUUCGGAGAGUUUCGGGUUUUCCCAAGAAUCGAGGUUUUCAGGAUCUCGAGUUGUCGUUUUGGACCGUUUUCGUACGAAGUUUCAUUUCGAAUAUAAGGUCCAUCCGUGCGUCGGUCCUAGUAGAUAAAAGGACUAGGGAGGUUAUUUUGGUUAGCUUACGUAAGCAUCUAAAUUUUUGUACUAAACUUGAUGAAAGUCCUUUUUGGAGGGUUGUAAUAUGACGAUUACUCUAAGUCCGAAUGUAUGUAAAUUAUGGAUGUAUUAGUGAACUCUGGUAUAAGGCUAGUAGUAAUCCCAAUGGAUGUUUAUGUUUUUCCGCGA